This 292-nucleotide ribosomal RNA is filed under the name uncultured bacterium. Its description in RNAcentral is "partial 16S ribosomal RNA". It matches the Rfam family "Bacterial small subunit ribosomal RNA", at positions 505 to 796 of the family's 1533-position model. The record is from RNAcentral.
GUGUCAGCAGCCGCGGUAAUACAGAGGUCCCAAGCGUUGUUCGGAUUCACUGGGCGUAAAGGGUGCGUAGGUGGUGAGGUAAGUCGGAUGUGAAAGCUCCGAGCUCAACUCGGAAAUGGCAUUGGAAACUACCUUGCUCGAGGGUUUGAGGGGGGACUGGAAUACUUGGUGUAGCAGUGAAAUGCGUAGAUAUCAAGUAGAACACCAGUGGCGAAGGCGAGUCCCUGGAAAACUCCUGACACUGAGGCACGAAAGCUAGGGGAGCAAACAGGAUUAGAUACCCCCGUAGUCC